AAAUGCGUUUAAUAACUUGAUUUACCACUAAGCAUUAUAAGGGAAAAUAUGAAACUUGGAGAAAGAGAAACCCUCCCCCCUCUCUCUCUCUCUCUCUCAAUCCAGCAGGUAAUGGAUCUAUGCUUCUUCAUUGCAUUGUCAGGCUGGUUUAUUGUCAAUGAAGCAUUUAGUUGGUCGAUCUAGCAUUCAGCAAUCUAAAUUUCUCUUAAAACCUAACAGCGACGAAGAUCUGAGAAAAAAAAAACCCAAUUAGCAAAUAUGAAAUUAAUGUUACCCAUAAUACAAGUAGUCUUUAAUUCAUAAUAUUUUUAAUACCACAAAAAAAAAAACAAGAGGAAUUACUGAAGUUGGUGAACAGGGCCAGCUAAUAUUGUAAUGAAUAGGCUGGGUGAAGAGGGAGACCAAUAAACUUAAAAUCGGCCACACAUGGUGGAGGGUACGAGGAAAGUGGGUUAGCAUGGGGCAAUGCCUAUGAAUGGGAUGGAUGCUUGAAAGUUGAAAAGCCUCACUGAAUUCACGUCAUAAGAAAAUGUUGGGGAGUCACUGUA
This 548-nucleotide long non-coding RNA is filed under the name Gossypium barbadense (sea-island cotton). RNAcentral describes it as "long non-coding RNA (GBAR_LNC020569)". Lineage: Eukaryota; Viridiplantae; Streptophyta; Magnoliopsida; Malvales; Malvaceae. The record is from RNAcentral.